GGCCCGUUGGUCAAGCGGUUAAGACUCCGCCCUCUCAAGGCGGCUACAGCAGUUCGAAUCUGCUACGGGUCACCA
Molecule: transfer RNA, 75 nt
Filed under: Clostridia bacterium
Lineage: Bacteria; Bacillati; Bacillota; Clostridia
Description: tRNA-Glu
Rfam family: tRNA
About the family: Transfer RNA (tRNA) molecules are approximately 80 nucleotides in length. Their secondary structure includes four short double-helical elements and three loops (D, anti-codon, and T loops).
Source: RNAcentral